Molecule: long non-coding RNA, 1896 nt
Organism: Piliocolobus tephrosceles (Ugandan red Colobus)
Lineage: Eukaryota; Metazoa; Chordata; Mammalia; Primates; Cercopithecidae
Source: Ensembl
UUCUGAAUUAAAUUUAUUAUGUUUAUUCUCAACUAAAAAUUUCAAAGAAAAUGUAAAUAUUUAUUUUGGCAAUAUCAUUACUAAUAUUUUGAAAAAAAAUAAAAAAAUAAUUAUGCAUAAAAAAAAAGGAAAAAAAAAAAACAAAAAAAAACAAAAAAAAAAACAAAACAAAAAAAACUACAAAUUAAAAAAAACGAAAAAAAACGACAGAUAACGACAGAUACAACGAAGGGAUAAUUCGUAAUACGAGUGGAUCUAUUACUCAUUUAAAAAAUUUUAUGUAUAAUGAUGUAGAUGAAAAGUCAUCAUCCGAUUUCUGUGAAAGUGUGGUAGACGCCUUGAUCGAAAGUGGGGAAGUUCCUUCCCGAGAUGAAGUACGUUCUUACACAGAUGAAACAGAUUCAUACAAAAAUGAAACAAACUCGUACGAAAGUAUGUCCGAAUCAACAAGGCCAUAUAUUCUUUAUAUAUCAGAUUAUACUAACUCAAGUGAUGAAUUAAAUAGCCUAAGUUAUGAUGACUUAAGUGAAACAUAUGAUGAAACUUUAGAUAAUAAAUUAGAUAAUAAACGAAAUUUAAAUAUAACACAAUCUUAUACAGAAACUGACUGUAAUAGCAUUAUUAGUGGAUUUAUACAUUUUACAUCAUAUUUUAACAUUGAAUGUAAUUUUAACGAAAGUAAUAGCUAUGGUAGUGGUAAUGGGUAUCACAUAGAAAAUGAUUUUCAAAAUAUAUUUUACAGUCAAAAGGAAAAAGAUAGUGAUAAUGCAAAGGGUGAAAGAUGCGAAGAGAGCAAAACAGGCGAAAGGAAUGAAAGAUGCGAAGAGAGCAAAACAGGCGAAAGGAAUGAAAGAUGCGAAGAGAGCAAAAAAGGCGAAAUUAUAGAAAGAUGCGAAGAGAGCAAAAAAGUAUACCAUCAACAUUUCGAGUCCGUAUCUAAACAUGGUACACCUGUAUAUGAAUCAAUUGAGGAAGUCGAUAAAAUCGAGCAAGUCGAACAUGUUGGAUAUCCCAAGUUCCUAUCCAAAAGUGACCUUCUUUUUGAGGGCAGAAAAGCUAGCAUGUCUAAUGACAUCAGUAACAGCAACACAGACUGUGAUGGAAGUGCUGACUGCACACAUUUCAUAUCGGACGUAGAUAAACAAAUAAAAAAGAAAAAAAGAAAACUAGCAGAAUUAGAAUGUAGUAAUUAUCGUAAACAAAAGAAAAUGAUAAUUAAAAAAAAAAAGUUUUUAAAAGAAAAAAAAAAAAAAGGUCAAGUUUAUUAUAAUAAUAAAACCAACUUAAAAAAUAAUGUAUGUGAUAUAGAAUUUGAAAAAUGGAUAGAAAAAGAUGUCAAUGGAAAUCAUAACAUAGAAAGCGAUUUUAGGAACGAAGUGGAGAAUGAUUCGAAAGAUAAAAUAGAAAGUGAACGACUCAUCGAGGAAGUAAGUGUAGUAGAAAGUUUAAACAAACACGAACAAAACAGUAUGAAUAAAAUAAAUUCAAACGAUAACUUUCAUUAUGAUAGUUUUAUGAGAAAAAAUAAAAGUGUGACAGUUGCACAUAUAAAUAUGGGUUUUCAAAUAAAAAAAUUUAAUUCUACUUUGAAGAAUCUAGAAAAUAUGUGCAAAAGUGUUAACGACAUUAACCACCUUAGCAGUAAGAAUCACAAUAGCAAUUAUUCCCCAAAAAAUGAUAGCUACAAAAUAAAUGAUAGUUACAAUUGUAGACAUAAUGGGGGUCGUAGUAAUCAUAAAAGAACUUGUUUUUUUAAUACAAGCAAACGUAAAAACAACAACAAUCAAAUUUAUAAUACAUCUAAUCUUAAUGAGUUUAAAACAAAUAAUGAUAAAAAUUACAAAAAAAACUUAACAACUCCAGUACAAUUAAAUGAUAUAAAAUGUAAAAAAUGUG